Molecule: transfer-messenger RNA, 357 nt
Filed under: Kiritimatiellota bacterium
Lineage: Bacteria; Pseudomonadati; Kiritimatiellota
Rfam family: transfer-messenger RNA
About the family: Bacterial tmRNA, also known as 10Sa RNA or SsrA, is named for its dual tRNA and mRNA-like properties.
Source: RNAcentral
GGGGGCGACAGGUUUCGACGGGUUGGUUGAAGCUCCUGUGGCGCGCCGAGGACCCCGGUUGGCCUCGUAAAAUAUCCGGGAAAAAAACCAUAAAAGCCAAUACAGAAUUGGCCCUCGCGGCUUAAUUGUUCCGCGACGUCUUACUGCUGACGAUCCGCUAAGCAGAUAAGGCGACGAUAGCGGGUUAGUUGUCGGGCCGCGCGACCGGGCCCGCCGGCGAAAUCAACAGGACGCUGGCUGUGGGCACAAGUUUGCCGGACGACCGUGCCCACAGCGAGACCUUAAAGACCGGACACGCGCGUAGAUGCAGGAGUGACGCUUGCUCGGACGGGGGUUCGAAUCCCCCCGCCUCCAUUU